GAUGAAGAACGCAGCGAAAUGCGAUAAGUAAUGUGAAUUGCAGAAUUCAGUGAAUCAUCGAAUCUUUGAACGCACCUUGCGCUCCUUGGUAUUCCGAGGAGCAUGCCUGUUUGAGUGUCACUAAAUUCUCAACCACUCUAGCCUUUGCGGGUUGGAUGUGGCCUGGAUGUUGGGGGUUUCUGCGGGCCUCUCUUUUGAGGUCGGCUCCCCUGAAAUGCAUUAGCGGAACCGUUUGCAGUCCGUCGCCGGUGUGAUAAUUAUCUACGCCAUAGACAAAGGCUGCUCUCUGUCUGUUCAGCUUCUAACUGUCCCCAGUGGACAACUUUCUGAACGUUCGUUUGACCUCAAAUCAGGUAGGACUACCCGCUGAACUUAAGCAUAUCAAUAAGCGGAGGA
Molecule: unclassified non-coding RNA, 396 nt
Filed under: soil metagenome
Description: partial contains 5.8S ribosomal RNA, internal transcribed spacer 2, and large subunit ribosomal RNA
Rfam family: 5.8S ribosomal RNA (bases 1-120)
Source: RNAcentral